ACCUGAGGGAUAGCUCAGGUGGUAGAGCAUGAGACUCAUGAGAUCUCAGCGUCAUGGGUUCGAGCCCCACCUUGGGUG
Molecule: non-coding RNA, 78 nt
Organism: Podarcis lilfordi (Lilford's wall lizard)
Lineage: Eukaryota; Metazoa; Chordata; Lepidosauria; Squamata; Lacertidae
Source: the annotation of a GenBank genome assembly